This 292-nucleotide ribosomal RNA is filed under the name uncultured bacterium. RNAcentral describes it as "partial 16S ribosomal RNA". It matches the Rfam family "Bacterial small subunit ribosomal RNA", at positions 505 to 796 of the family's 1533-position model. The record is from RNAcentral.
GUGUCAGCAGCCGCGGUAAUACGUAGGGUGCAGGCGUUAAUCGGAAUUACUGGGCGUAAAGCGUGCGCAGGCGGUCUCUUAAGACAGGUGUGAAAUCCCCGAGCUUAACUUGGGAACUGCGCUUGUAACUGAGAGGCUAGAGUGUGGCAGAGGGGGGUGGAAUUCCACGUGUAGCAGUGAAAUGCGUAGAGAUGUGGAGGAACACCGAUGGCGAAGGCAGCCCCCUGGGCUAACACUGACGCUCAUGCACGAAAGCGUGGGGAGCAAACAGGAUUAGAAACCCCUGUAGUCC